Penaeus chinensis is the source of this 972-nucleotide long non-coding RNA. RefSeq lists it as uncharacterized. Lineage: Eukaryota; Metazoa; Arthropoda; Malacostraca; Decapoda; Penaeidae. The transcript has 3 exons. The record is from RefSeq and is a predicted model, not a curated record.
CGAGGAGGCCCCAGUUGAGGGGAGACGACCGUAGCGUGAGCACGGUGUCGCUCGUUGUUCAGAAGUGUCCAGCAGUGCGUCGUUCUGUUAUCGUGCCUUUGUGCCCUUUGGAAUUAACAGGUGUUUCGAAACAGAUAGUUUUAAUCCAGUUUGCCCAAAGAGGAAAGCGAGAAAGAAAAGAGAGAAAAGCAAAGAGAGAAAAUCAGAGAGGAAAAAUAUUGAUAAGAGAAAGUGAUUUUGUUUUGGAAAUCGAGUGUGGUGUUUUUCAAGCCUGUUGUUUGCCUCGUGGAGUGUGGACGAUCGGCGGAAGUGCGUUUGUGUUAGCUGAGGGAACAACAUGGAUGCGUUAAUUUUCGCCAGAUACGGAGAGGUGUCGCCGCCGUCGUCGUCGUUGUUGCCAUGGUAACGGAGUGUGUGUGUGGUUCCCCUCAUCGGCACAAUGAAUCACGUGUCUAGUAUAACCUCGUGAGGGUAGUGUGAACGAAGGAAGAGAAGAGAGAAAGGAAAAAUAAAAAUAUUGAGGAAAAGAGAUAAAAAAAAAAAGAGAAAAGAAAGGAAAAGAGAGAAGGUGAAAAUAACGGGAGAAGAUUGAGAGAGGAAACAGCAACAUCACGGGAAAGGUUCGAGGAGGUGAAGAAGAAGGACUUCACUCUCGCCCCCUCCCCCCUCCUCUUCCCCCCCCUUAACCUCCCCCUCGAAGGAGACAUCACCCCCACUCUCCCCCCCACCCCCCACCCCUCCCUUCCGGCCGACCCUCCAGCGCGUCGGGAGGCUGACACGAGAGAUCUCCGGUCGGGCACAGCAUCAUGUACCCAGCGGCCAUGAACGCGGCGGUGGCUGCUGCUGCCGCUAGCCGUCACCCGGUGAGUUUGGCGGGACCACAGCCGGGCCAGCCGUUCAAGUUCACCGUGUCCGAAUCCUGUGAUCGAAUGAAGGAGGAAUUUAACUUCUUGCAAGCGCAGUAUCACAAGU